GAGUUUGAUCCUGGCUCAGAUUGAACGCUGGCGGCAGGCUUAACACAUGCAAGUCGAGCGGAGAUGAGGUGCUUGCACCUUAUCUUAGCGGCGGACGGGUGAGUAAUGCUUAGGAAUCUGCCUAUUAGUGGGGGACAACAUUCCGAAAGGAAUGCUAAUACCGCAUACGUCCUACGGGAGAAAGCAGGGGAUCUUCGGACCUUGCGCUAAUAGAUGAGCCUAAGUCGGAUUAGCUAGUUGGUGGGGUAAAGGCCUACCAAGGCGACGAUCUGUAGCGGGUCUGAGAGGAUGAUCCGCCACACUGGGACUGAGACACGGCCCAGACUCCUACGGGAGGCAGCAGUGGGGAAUAUUGGACAAUGGGGGGAACCCUGAUCCAGCCAUGCCGCGUGUGUGAAGAAGGCCUUAUGGUUGUAAAGCACUUUAAGCGAGGAGGAGGCCACUGAGACUAAUACUCUUGGAUAGUGGACGUUACUCGCAGAAUAAGCACCGGCUAACUCUGUGCCAGCAGCCGCGGUAAUACAGAGGGUGCGAGCGUUAAUCGGAUUUACUGGGCGUAAAGCGUGCGUAGGCGGCUUUUUAAGUCGGAUGUGAAAUCCCCGAGCUUAACUUGGGAAUUGCAUUCGAUACUGGGAAGCUAGAGUAUGGGAGAGGAUGGUAGAAUUCCAGGUGUAGCGGUGAAAUGCGUAGAGAUCUGGAGGAAUACCGAUGGCGAAGGCAGCCAUCUGGCCUAAUACUGACGCUGAGGUACGAAAGCAUGGGGAGCAAACAGGAUUAGAUACCCUGGUAGUCCAUGCCGU
RNAcentral lists this ribosomal RNA (800 nucleotides) under uncultured bacterium. RNAcentral's name for it is "bacterial SSU rRNA". It matches the Rfam family "Bacterial small subunit ribosomal RNA", at positions 9 to 803 of the family's 1533-position model. The record is from RNAcentral.